Magnolia sinica is the source of this 360-nucleotide long non-coding RNA. RefSeq lists it as uncharacterized. The record is from RefSeq and is a predicted model, not a curated record. Lineage: Eukaryota; Viridiplantae; Streptophyta; Magnoliopsida; Magnoliales; Magnoliaceae. The transcript has 4 exons.
UUGGGUUUUCAAGUUUAGGUUUAGGUUAAGGUUAGGGAGUUGAGAUUAGGAUUAGGUGUAGGUGUAGGUUUAGGUUUAGGGAUUUGAGAAUACAUUUACGCUUUAAGUUUAGGUUUAGGUUUUACGUUAUAGGUUAAGGUUUAGGUUUUAGGUUUAGGUUAAGGUUAGGUUAUAGGUUAUAAGUUUAGGUUUUGGUUUAGGUUAAGGUUAUAGGUUUAGGUUUAGGUUAAGGUUUAGGUUUAGGUUAUAAGCUAUAGUUUAGGGAAUUGAGAAUAGGUUAAGGGUUAGGUUUAGGAAAUCGGGUUUGGGUUCGGGAUCGGGUUUAGGCUUGGGUUUUCAUGUUUAGGUUUAGGUUUAGGU